AUGCAAGUCGAGGGAAACGAUAUUGGAAGCUUGCUUCCGAUAGGCGUCGACCGGCGCACGGGUGAGUAACGCGUAUCCAACCUGCCCACACUUGGGGAUAACCUUGCGAAAGUAAGACUAAUACCCAAUGACGUCUCUAGAAGACAUCUGAAAGAGAUUAAAGAUUUAUUGGUGAUGGAUGGGGAUGCGUCUGAUUAGCUGUUGCGGGGUAACGGCCCACCAAGGCGACGAUCAUAGGGGGUUCUGAGAGGAAGGUCCCCCACAUUGGAACUGAGACACGGUCCAAACUCCUACGGGAGGCAGCAGUGAGGAAUAUUGGGUCAAUGGGCGAGAGCCUGAACCAGCCAAGUAGCGUGCAGGAAGACGGCCCUAUGGGUUGUAAACUGCUUUUAUAAGGGAAUAAAGUUAGUCUCGUGAGACUUUUUGCAUGUACCUUAUGAAUAAGGACCGGCUAAUUCCGUG
This 462-nucleotide ribosomal RNA is filed under the name uncultured bacterium. RNAcentral's name for it is "bacterial SSU rRNA". It matches the Rfam family "Bacterial small subunit ribosomal RNA", at positions 55 to 507 of the family's 1533-position model. The record is from RNAcentral.